GUUUCCUCGAUCUCUCCUCGUGUUACCCACUCUCUCUCCUUUUCUCUCCACAGGUAUCAACUUGGGCACAAUAGCACAGUUAGUUUGCUUUGAAUGGCUCUCACCUCUGGGCUGGACACAGCGUACUGUAAGUACAGGUUUCCUCUGUUUCUCCUUGUGUUACUCACUCUCUCUUUCCUUUUCUCUCCACAGGCAGCGGCGUAAGUACAGGUUUCCUCGAUCUCUCCUCGUGUUACCCACUCUCUCUCCUUUUCUCUCCACAGGUAUCAACUUGGGCACAAUAGCACAGUUAGUUUGCUUUGAAUGGCUCUCACCUCUGGGCUGGACACAGCGUACUGUAAGUACAGGGUUCGCUCUAUUCCUCCUCGUGUUAUUCACUCUCUCUUUCCUUUCCUCUCCACAGGUAUCAACUUGGACGCAAAGCACAGUUACUCUGCUUUGGAUGGCUUUCACCUCUGGGCUGGACACAGCGUACUGUGCUAUCUCCGGAGAUCUGAAGCACGCUCACAACAU
Molecule: long non-coding RNA, 513 nt
Organism: Cyprinus carpio carpio
Lineage: Eukaryota; Metazoa; Chordata; Actinopteri; Cypriniformes; Cyprinidae
Source: Ensembl